UGGGGAAUAUUGCACAAUGGGCGGAAGCCUGAUGCAGCGACGCCGCGUGAGGGAUGACGGCCUUCGGGUUGUAAACCUCUUUCAGUAGGGAAGAAGCGUAAGUGACGGUACCUGCAGAAGAAGCGCCGGCUAACUACGUG
RNAcentral lists this ribosomal RNA (140 nucleotides) under uncultured bacterium. RNAcentral's name for it is "partial 16S ribosomal RNA". It matches the Rfam family "Bacterial small subunit ribosomal RNA", at positions 355 to 507 of the family's 1533-position model. The record is from RNAcentral.